This 1480-nucleotide ribosomal RNA is filed under the name Leclercia adecarboxylata. RNAcentral's name for it is "bacterial SSU rRNA". It matches the Rfam family "Bacterial small subunit ribosomal RNA". Lineage: Bacteria; Pseudomonadati; Pseudomonadota; Gammaproteobacteria; Enterobacterales; Enterobacteriaceae. The record is from RNAcentral.
GGAAGGCGGCAGGCUACGCUGCGAGUCGAGCGGUAGCACAGGGCACUUUGCCCUCAGGGUGACGAGCUGUGGACGGGUGAAUUUGUGUGGGACUCUGUGUGAUGGAGGGAGAUAACUACUGGAAAGGGUAUCUAAUACCGCAAAACGUCACGAGACCAAAGAGGGGGAUCUUCGGGCCUCUUGCCCUCAUAUGUGCCCAUAUGGGAUUAUCUAAUAGGUGGGGUAACGGCUCCCCUGCGACAAUAUCCCUAUGUGGUCAGGUAGAAGAUAGCACCCCCACAGUGGAACUGACACACGGUCCACAUCUCCUACGGGAGGCAGCAGUGGGGAAUAUUGCACAGUGGGCACACGCCUGAUGCACCAGUGCCGCGUGUAUGAAAAAGCUAUUCGGUGUGUAAAGUACUUUCAGCGGGGAAGAGCGUGUUGAGGUUAAUAACCUCAGCAUUUGACGUUCCCCGCAAAAGACGCACCGGCUAUCUCCGUGCCCACCACCGCGGUAAUACGGAGUGGGCACGCGUAUCUCAGAAUUACUGGGCGUAAAGCGCACGCAGCGCUGUCUGUCAAGUCAGAUGUGAAAUCCCCGGGCUCACUCUGAAAACUGCAUUCGAAAUCUGGCACGCUAGACUCGUGUAGAGGGAGGUAGAAUUCCAGUGUGUAGCGGUGAAAUGCAUAGAGAUCUGGAAGAAUACCGGUGGCGAAGCGCGCCCCCGUUGCACAAACACUGACGCUCAGUGUGAGAAAGCGUGGGGGAGCAAACAGAUAUUAGAUACCUGUGAUACUCCACGCCAUAAACGAUGUACGACGUGGGAUGGUUGUUCCCUUGAGGAGAGUGCUCUCCGGAGCUAACGCGAUAACUACGACCCGCCUGGGAGAGUACGCCCGCAAGGUUAAAACUCAAAUGAAUUGACGGGGCCCCCGCACAAGCGGUGGAGCAUGUGGUUAUAAUUCGAUGCAACGCGAAGAACUCUUACCCUACUCGUGGACAUCCAGAGAACUUAGCAGAUGAUGCUUUGGGUGCCUUCGGGAACCUCUGAAACAGGUGCUGCAUGGCUGUCGUCAGUCUCGUGUUGGGAAAUGUUGGGUUAAGUCCCGCAACGAGCGCAACCCUUUACUCCUUUGUUGCCAGCGGUCCGGCCGGGAACUCAAAGGAGACUCGCCAGUGAUAAACUGGAGGAAGGUGGGGAUGACGUCAAGUCCAUCAUGGCCCUUACGAGUAGGGCUACACACGUGUCUACAAUGGCGCAUACAAAGAGAAGCGACCUCGCGAGAGCAAGCGGACCUCAUAAAGUGCGUCGUAGUCCGGAUUGGAGUCUGCAACUCGACUCCAUGAAGUCGGAAUCGCUAGUAAUCGUAGAUCAGAAUGCUACGGUGAAUACGUUCCCGGGCCUUGUACACACCGCCCGUCACACCAUGGGAGUGGGUUGCAAAAGAAGUAGGUAGCUUAACCUCGGGAGGGCGCUUUCCACUUUGGAUUCAUUUU